This 778-nucleotide unclassified non-coding RNA is filed under the name Hevea brasiliensis (rubber tree). The record is from RNAcentral. Lineage: Eukaryota; Viridiplantae; Streptophyta; Magnoliopsida; Malpighiales; Euphorbiaceae.
CUGAGAAGUAUGAUGUUCAUGUUGUAGGCAUUGAUCUUUCAGUUAACAUGAUCACAUUGGCUUUUGAACGUGCUAUUGGGCGCAAAUGCGCGGUUGAAUUUGAGGUUGCUGAUUGCACGGUGAAAACAUAUCCUGAAGAAUCAUUCGAUGUGAUAUACAGCCGGGACACUAUCCUGCACAUCCAGGACAAGCCUGCAUUAUUCAGAUCUUUCUAUAAGUGGCUGAAGCCUGGAGGCAGAGUCCUCAUAAGCGAUUACUGCAAAAAGGCAGGACCAGCUUCCGAAGACUUUGCAGCGUAUAUCAAACAAAGAGGCUACGAUUUACAUGAUGUUGAAGCAUAUGGGCAGAUGCUCAGAGAUGCGGGUUUUCAUGAAGUUGUGGCCGAGGAUCGUACUGAACAGUUCAUUAAGGUUCUGCAAAAGGAGUUAGAUACUGUGGAGAAGGAAAGAGAAUCUUUUAUCCAUGAGUUCUCUGAACAAGACUAUAAUGAAAUAGUUGGAGGUUGGAAGUCCAAGCUAAUCAGGAGUUCAUCUGGUGAGCAGAGGUGGGGCUUGUUCAUUGCCAAGAAGAAAUGAUUUAUCCAAACGUGUGGUGGAUCUAUUUCCAUUUAUAUACUAGAGUAUGAACAUUUCUUCCAGUUCUAUGUAAUAAUUGUUUUACCAGGGAUUUAGGGAUAAAAGAUAUUACUAGCAUACUCUUCCCUCAUCUUGGACAAAUUUGUUCUUCAUUUGCUGUCAUUAUUCCUUUAGAUUUUGAUGCACGUCGCAUUCUUUAUGAG